AAAUCCUACGGGAGGCAGCAGUGGGGAAUAUUGCACAAUGGGGGAAACCCUGAUGCAGCGACGCCGCGUGAAGGAAGAAGUAUUUCGGUAUGUAAACUUCUAUCAGCAGGGAAGAAAAUGACGGUACCUGACUAAGAAGCCCCGGCUAACUACGUGCCAGCAGCCGCGGCAAUACGUAGGGGGCAAGCGUUAUCCGGAUUUACCGGGUGUAAAGGGAGCGUAGACGGCAGCACAAGUCUGGAGUGAAAUCCCGGGGCUUAACCCCGGAACUGCUUUGGAAACUGUGCGGCUGGAGUGCAGGAGGG
Molecule: ribosomal RNA, 305 nt
Filed under: uncultured bacterium
Lineage: Bacteria
Description: bacterial SSU rRNA
Rfam family: Bacterial small subunit ribosomal RNA
Source: RNAcentral